RNAcentral lists this ribosomal RNA (450 nucleotides) under Vibrio parahaemolyticus. RNAcentral's name for it is "bacterial SSU rRNA". It matches the Rfam family "Bacterial small subunit ribosomal RNA", at positions 330 to 797 of the family's 1533-position model. Lineage: Bacteria; Pseudomonadati; Pseudomonadota; Gammaproteobacteria; Vibrionales; Vibrionaceae. The record is from RNAcentral.
UCCUGAGCCCUAUGGGAUGCAGCAGUGGGGAAUAUUGCACAAUGGGGGAAACCCUGAUGCAGCGACGCCGCGUGGAGGAAGAAGGUCUUCGGAUUGUAAACUCCUGUUGUUGAGGAAGAUAAUGACGGUACUCAACAAGGAAGUGACGGCUAACUACGUGCCAGCAGCCGCGGUAAAACGUAGGUCACAAGCGUUGUCCGGAAUUACUGGGUGUAAAGGGAGCGCAGGCGGGAGAACAAGUUGGAAGUGAAAUCCAUGGGCUCAACCCAUGAACUGCUUUCAAAACUGUUUUUCUUGAGUAGUGCAGAGGUAGGCGGAAUUCCCGGUGUAGCGGUGGAAUGCGUAGAUAUCGGGAGGAACACCAGUGGCGAAGGCGGCCUACUGGGCACCAACUGACGCUGAGGCUCGAAAGCGUGGGUAGCAAACAGGAUUAGAUACCCAAGUAGUCCA